This 389-nucleotide long non-coding RNA is filed under the name Mytilus galloprovincialis (Mediterranean mussel). Lineage: Eukaryota; Metazoa; Mollusca; Bivalvia; Mytilida; Mytilidae. The record is from RNAcentral.
UUUAUACAUGUAUACAGAAGUUCACAGUGUUAGUUCACAGUUAGCAAACUUUGCUUUUGAUGUAUCAAUUUUUGGUAAGUGCGUUUGUAUAGCUGUAUGAAAUUUGUGUCUUGAUAUUGUUUCAGUUUCGUUUCAAACGCAUCCCAUGCAAGUUUUAAAUUUUUCACCCAAACAAAAUUGGUAAUAGGAAUCUCUUCAUCUUUUGUUCAAAGUAUAAUGACAGUAAUACGAGUAGGUGUGCAGUUAAAUACUUAAAAGUGAACAGUUUACUCAGCCCGAGUUUUCAACAACAAACCAUUGCACUAUAUUUUUCGCCUUUGGCACUACUAAUUUGAAGUAGUAUCUUUAAGAACAUCAAAUCCAUUAAUACCUAAAACUAUUUAAACACC